UACAGAGGUCUCGAGCGUUAGGCGGGAUCACUGGGCUUAAAGCGUGUGUAGGCGGAUCGGUAAGUACCUUGUGAAAUCCCACAGCUUAACUGUGGAACUGCUUGGUAUACUGCCAGUCUUGAGCCACUUAGGGGCUACCGGAACAAAUGGUGGAGCGGUGAAAUGCGUAGAUAUCAUUUGGAACGCCAAUGGUGAAAACAGGUAGCUGGGAGUGUGCUGACGCUGAGACACGAAAGCCAGGGGAGCAAACGGG
RNAcentral lists this ribosomal RNA (253 nucleotides) under uncultured bacterium. Its description in RNAcentral is "partial 16S ribosomal RNA". It matches the Rfam family "Bacterial small subunit ribosomal RNA", at positions 524 to 776 of the family's 1533-position model. The record is from RNAcentral.